ACAGGCCUUGCUGAUGCGCGCUGAAUUCGCUGCUCGCAACGCCGCAUCGCUGAAAUGCUUUUGAUCGCGGAUGUACUGGCACUGGUCAAAACGCGAUGGGUCGGUGCGGUUUCUACCCGGCCUUUUUUGUU
This 131-nucleotide small RNA is filed under the name Rhizobium sp. BK077. Its description in RNAcentral is "sRNA ar35". It matches the Rfam family "Alphaproteobacterial sRNA ar35". Lineage: Bacteria; Pseudomonadati; Pseudomonadota; Alphaproteobacteria; Hyphomicrobiales; Rhizobiaceae. RNAcentral also lists the same sequence under 2 other names. The record is from RNAcentral.